This is a long non-coding RNA of Nothoprocta perdicaria, 217 nucleotides long. RefSeq lists it as uncharacterized. The transcript has 3 exons. The record is from RefSeq and is a predicted model, not a curated record. Lineage: Eukaryota; Metazoa; Chordata; Aves; Tinamiformes; Tinamidae.
UUUUUUCUACUUUUAGUGUGCUAUCUUUAAGCUUUAUUUUAAUAAUUGUUAUUAACAAGUCUGUCAAAUGAACAACUCAGUAAGGAUUCUGUAGUGUUCUGAACUCUGAACUCUGAACAGAAACAUUUGCUGUUACUUUGACAAAACCACAGGCAAUUUUGAGAAAAACCACAGCCAAUUUUGACAAAACCACAGAACAAAUGUAACUUCAACAAGA